Molecule: ribosomal RNA, 495 nt
Filed under: uncultured bacterium
Lineage: Bacteria
Description: partial 16S ribosomal RNA
Rfam family: Bacterial small subunit ribosomal RNA
Source: RNAcentral
GAUGAACGCUGGCGGCGUGCCUAAUACAUGCAAGUAGAACGCUGAAGGAGGAGCUUGCUCUUCUGGAUGAGUUGCGAACGGGUGAGUAACGCGUAGGUAACCUGCCUGGUAGCGGGGGAUAACUAUUGGAAACGAUAGCUAAUACCGCAUGACAACAGUUAUUGCAUGAUAACUGUUUAAAAGGGGCAACUGCUCCACUACCAGAUGGACCUGCGUUGUAUUAGCUAGUUGGUGAGGUAACGGCUCACCAAGGCGACGAUACAUAGCCGACCUGAGAGGGUGAUCGGCCACACUGGGACUGAGACACGGCCCAGACUCCUACGGGAGGAAGCAGUAGGGAAUCUUCGGCAAUGGACGGAAGUCUGACCGAGCAACGCCGCGUGAGUGAAGAAGGUUUUCGGAUCGUAAAGCUCUGUUGUAAGAGAAGAACGAGUGUGAGAGUGGAAAGUUCACACUGUGACGGUAUCUUACCAGAAAGGGACGGCUAACUACGUG